This 401-nucleotide ribosomal RNA is filed under the name uncultured bacterium. RNAcentral's name for it is "bacterial SSU rRNA". It matches the Rfam family "Bacterial small subunit ribosomal RNA", at positions 355 to 773 of the family's 1533-position model. The record is from RNAcentral.
UGGGGAAUCUUGGACAAUGGGGGCAACCCUGAUCCAGCCAUGCCGCGUGAGUGAUGAAGGCCUUAGGGUCGUAAAGCUCUUUCGCCUGUGAAGAUAAUGACGGUAGCAGGUAAAGAAACCCCGGCUAACUCCGUGCCAGCAGCCGCGGUAAUACGGAGGGGGUUAGCGUUGUUCGGAAUUACUGGGCGUAAAGCGCACGUAGGCGGACCAGAAAGUUAGAGGUGAAAUCCCAGGGCUCAACCUUGGAACUGCCUUUAAAACUGCUAGUCUAGAGACCGGAAGAGGUUAGGGGAAUACCUAGUGUAGAGGUGAAAUUCGUAGAUAUUAGGUGGAACACCAGUGGCGAAGGCGCCUAACUGGUCCGGUACUGACGCUGAGGAACGAAAGCGUGGGGAGCAAAC